This 431-nucleotide ribosomal RNA is filed under the name Leptotrichia sp. oral taxon 498. RNAcentral's name for it is "bacterial SSU rRNA". It matches the Rfam family "Bacterial small subunit ribosomal RNA", at positions 28 to 460 of the family's 1533-position model. The record is from RNAcentral. Lineage: Bacteria; Fusobacteriati; Fusobacteriota; Fusobacteriia; Fusobacteriales; Leptotrichiaceae.
GAUGAACGCUGACAGAAUGCUUAACACAUGCAAGUCGAUGGGGAAGCGGCGCUUGCGCCGUGGCAACCAUGGCGGACGGGUGAGUAACGCGUAAAGAACUUGCCGGAUGGACCGGGAUAACAGCUGGAAACGGCUGGCAAGACCGGAUACUGUGGGCUGGCUGCAUGGCUGGCCCAUGAAAAGGGAUGCCGUCCGAGAGCUUUGCGUCCUAUUAGCUGGUUGGUAAGGUGACGGCUUACCAAGGCGAUGAUAGGUAGCCGGCCUGAGAGGGUGGACGGCCACAAGGGGACUGAGAUACGGCCCUUACUCCUACGGGAGGCAGCAGUGGGGAAUAUUGGACAAUGGGGGCAACCCUGAUCCAGCAAUUCUGUGUGCACGAAGAAGGUUCUCGGAUCGUAAAGUGCUUUCAGCAGGGAGGAAGGAAAGUGACU